UUUUUUUUUUUUUUUUUUUUUUUUAUUAUACCUCCGAACGGAUUUGAAAAUUUUGAAAUCCGUAAACCAAUUUAAAAAAAAAAAAAAUUGGCCUAAAGGAAAAAGUAGGUAAAAAUAGCUACCUGGAGUAGGUUUAAAUACCUACAGACUGUGGACAAAAGUAUUUGCACGGGCGAUGGUGGCCAAUUUGUUUAUCGAAAACGCUUGACGGUAAACAAACAUGUUUUUGGAGUGUCUGAACAGGACAAAUAACUUGUAAAUGCAAAAAUAUUGUAAAUAAACAAUUUAUUUCUAUUAAUAAUCAAUAAAGAUAAAUAAAAGAAUGUCAAGUACCUUAGUACUUUCUUGAUAUACCCUCAGGCCCUUUGAACUUGGCGCACUUGUUGUGGAAGGGUGCAUGGAGAUUUUGUAUAAUUUCUGUAAAUGAAGUCCAGAUUUCCAGAAUUUUGUGAUACAGUUCAUCACAAGAAUUUAAUGUACAAAUGUAAUAUUGAAGUUUUCUUUUAAUUAUCAGCCAAAUGUUUUCUACGGGGCAUAAAUCAGGUGUACAUGUAUGUGUGGGCCACUUCAGUGCUGGAAUUUGUUUGUCAGUUUUGUAAUUGAUUGAAGACGAGAUCAAUGAACAGGUGUAUGGUCAUCCAUAAACAGAUAAUUGCCAUCUUCAAAGAGUUUUGCUAUACAGGCCACAAGUUAUCUACGUAUUUUUCAGAGUUAUUCAUGUUGCUAUAUCGUAUAUGUAUUGACUCUGCAAAGAGUACCAACGUCAUGACACGUAAUGCAUCCCCAAAUAUUAUACCAGUUUCGGGGGGAAAUACAGUCCGACAGUCAAGAUUUAAGUCACUUCUUCUCCAUGUAUAUACUCGACAGUAUUUUCCAAAGAUAAUCUGACACUUAUCAGAAGAAAUGACCAUUUUCCAUUCAUUUUCCACGGUCCAGUUUACUUUACCCGCACACCAUUGCACACAUUUUACAUGACUGACAACUCGGACCGUAUUUUCUUGAUACAAAUGCAUAUUUAGUAUCCAUUUCAGUCUUAAACAUCGCCAAAUAGUUUUCUUUGAAAGAUUUGCAUUGUUAUUUUCAUUAUAUUUUUUUGUAACGUCCGACUGGUCUUUUUCUAUCCAACUGUGUCUAUCUAACAAGUCUCCGUUUUGCACGUGCACUCACUAAUUUCUUUCGUCCACUUCUUUGUUAAUUAAUUUUCUGUUGUAUCUCGCUUUCGAAAUUUAUUCCAAGCACUAUACACAGUUGAUAUAGAAAUUCUAAAUAAUUUUCCAACUUCCCCGAAACUUUUACAGCCCUGAACUAAUGCUACAAUGUUUUCUUAGCAGCCUAUACCGAGUUCCGAUGUUUACAACCCAUGUUUUCUAAUCACUAUCUUGCAUGUAUAAACAGAGUUGCAGACUACAACAAACAUCAUUACAUCACAUUAUUGACCAACUUUUUUAAUACAUCAUCGGUUAAAGGAUAACUCAUGUCUGUGCAAAGAGAGAUAACCUGCAAUGUAUGAUACUCGAUAAACACAUUUGAAAAAUGACGCGAUCGUGCGAAUACUUUUGUCCACAGUCUGUAGGUAGUUAUAAGUCUUUGGACUGGACCUGAUUAAGUCUUUAUACAAGUCUAUGGUUUGCCCCAAUUUGGGGCAUUAUUGUUAUUGAUGGAAAAAUACUGAAUGUCAAAGCUACAUAUAAAAAAAUUACAAAGGUAUAUGUAUGGCCAAAAAAAAUUAAUCAAUAUUUUCUCAGGCCAAAAAUUUCAAAAUUCAAUGCGGCAGGCAGGGUUUUUUUUUUUUUUUUGAAGCCAAAGUAAUCUUUUUUCCUUGUCAGUCAACAAAAUAAUGAUAUCAACCAAUUCUUACUUUUUUGUAGUCUAAUAUCAAUUAUAAUACUUACUCAACUUAAAAUAGUAUUAUUCCAAUCAUUUUAUAAAAAGUUAAUCCAUAGAAUACUGUUGAACAAAAAAUAUAUUGUUUAUUAAAUAAAAACGUCUUUUUAUUAGCAUAUAUGAAAAGGGGAAUAACUCAAUUUUCUUUAUCAACUCGGAAAAAUAGAAAAUUGAGUUAUUUCCCUUUUCAAUAUGGCAAUAAAAUUGAUCAAUGCGGCAGUGUUUAACCUGAUGCGGCGGUGCCUGAGAAACUAUUGAUUAAUUUUGUUUGGCCUAAAUAAGUACUUUUUUUUUUUAACUGCAGACAAGGGACGUAACUUGUGCAUAGUGUUAAUAGGGGUAUUGUCUGGGUAAUCUAUUGACUAUUGAGGAGAAUUUGAUGGCUCAUAAUCUUCUACAAUUUCUGUACAACAUGAUUUAUGUAACAUAUUGUGUACAAUUUGUAUCAGAAAUCAUUUGUACCAACAUCAUUAUAUCCCCCGCAACAAAGUUGUGGGGGGGGGGGGGGGGGGGGGGGGGGUUACUGGAAUCAGGUUGUCUGUCUGUAGACACUAGACACAAUGGUUUCGGGGCUCUUAAGCGUGAUCCUUUCCACCUACAGUCACCAUAUCAUACAUAUGGACUACCCAUGGGAAGAAGAUGUUUCCUAUCGAAUUUGGGGUCCAAAGGUCAAGUGCACUGGACAUCGAAGUAGCAAUGUGGUUUCAUCUCUCAUCCAUUUCUCCCCAGAGAAGAGACUACCUAAGGUUUUGUCAUGCCCAUUCUUUUUUACUCAUGAAAGUGGCAAUUUAUACCUAUUAACAACACCCUUUGGGAGAUUGGGGUAAGCGGGGGUUGUUCUUAGUGAGCAUUGCUCACAGUAACUCUUGUUGAACAUGAAAUUGUGUGGAGUUUAUGCAAAUUAUAUUUUAAGCUCAACAAUGCUGCCAAGUUUCAGGAGCAUAAUACAUACUGUGUAUGUUACAUUGACCAUUGAGAGUAAAAUCAUGGCAACCAAGACUCUAACGUUAUUAGACAAACUUGAAAAUCAAUGGACAUAUUGAAGACCUGGAAAACAAACAUCCACAAAACAAGCAACAUGUCAGAAUAACAAAAUGAUAUAUGAGCACACAAACUAGACCAUAAAGUAAAAACUGCACUUUUAGAGAGGUUUCUGACAGUUCUACAAGUACAUCACUAAUUGGGUUCUGUCAAGGAACACAAUCAAUAUAUAAAAACAAGAGUUUUGAUAUUCAAUAUAUUUUCAGAGAAAAAAACCUACCAACUGACCCAAUAUUUUUUAUGACCCUCGGGCUAUGGCAGACCAACAUUUUUUUAAUAUGGCCUUGUGGAAGAUAUAAUGUUGCUAGAUGUAAAUAAGUUCUUGACUGUUGAAAAGUAAUUAUACUCCACGCAACAAAGUUGCAGAGGGUAUAAUGUUUUUGACCUGUCCGUCAGUCCC
Molecule: long non-coding RNA, 3325 nt
Organism: Ostrea edulis (European flat oyster)
Lineage: Eukaryota; Metazoa; Mollusca; Bivalvia; Ostreida; Ostreidae
Exons: 2
Source: RefSeq, a predicted model, not a curated record